UAUGGGCCUUGAGAGAGGGAGCCCAGAGAUGGACUCUGAGACAUGAGUCCAGGCCCUACGGGGCGCAGCAGUCGCGAAAACUUCGCAAUGGGGGAAACCCCGACGAGGGAAUUCCAAGUGCCAGCACUUUGUGUUGGCUGUUCUUCUGUCUAAAAAACAGGAGAAGUAAGGGGCGGGUAAGACGGGUGCCAGCCGCCGCGGUAAUACCCGCGCCCCAAGUGGUGAUCGUGAUUAUUGGGUCUAAAGGGUCCGUAGCCGGUUUGGUCAGUCCUCCGGGAAAUCUGAUAGCUCAACUAUUAGGCUUUCGGGGGAUACUGCCAGGCUUGGAACCGGGAGAGGUAAGAGGUACUACAGGGGUAGGAGUGAAAUCUUGUAAUCCCUGUGGGACCACCUGUGGCGAAGGCGUCUUACCAGAACGGGUUCGACGGUGAGGGACGAAAGCUGGGGGCACGAACCGGAUUAGAUACCCGGGUAGUCCCAGCCGUAAACGAUGCUCGCUAGGUGUCAGGCAUGGCGCGACCGUGUCUGGUGCC
RNAcentral lists this ribosomal RNA (533 nucleotides) under uncultured archaeon. RNAcentral's name for it is "bacterial SSU rRNA". It matches the Rfam family "Archaeal small subunit ribosomal RNA", at positions 268 to 802 of the family's 1478-position model. The record is from RNAcentral.